CAGCGGGUUGGUAGGCUGAGCGGCAGAAAGGCAGACGGGGACUGGGAAAGGCACUGUCGGUGACAUCACGGAUAGGGCGACUUCUAUGUAAAUGAGGCAGCGCAGGGGCUGCUGCUUCGCCACGAAGGAUUUCCCGUGCCGUGGGAGCGGGUUCAGGACCGCUGGUCGGACCUGAGAGUCCCAGCUGUGGGAAGCUCAGCUGUGUAAUUUGUAGUAACGAAGCAGAAGUUACAACGAAAAGACAAGUUUUCCUGUGCUUGGCAGGGCCCCCCUCCCCCCCACCAAGGCCUGCAGUGGAUAGAGCCUAGCAGAUCCUGGACAAUACUAUCCUAAAAGCUACAUCUCUGACAGUGAUUUCCAGCGACUUUGUCAACACGGUCCGCCCCCAGCAAGUAUAAGAGGAAAAACAACAAAUGUCUUUACUGCCUUGUCUUUCCCCCUUGCCACUUGUCAUUAUUCAAGUUUUGUAAGUUCCUGAUUUCCAUUCAGUGCAGCUGCAAGGUUACCAGCUGUGCUUGCGUUGCAAGACCUGUCACAGUUUGAUUAACUGCCUUCUUUCUGCUUCUGUAAGCCCUCUUGCCUGCCCCGCGAGUUUCACACCAUCAAAUUCCUGCUGCACCAUUCAAACUAGCCAACCCCCUUUCAGAAGUGUGUAUAAAAGUCAAGCCCCCUGUCUUUCUUCGGGGCUCAUGCUAGGCCCGAGUGCAUUCAAUAAAAUCCUUCUGUUCC
RNAcentral lists this long non-coding RNA (729 nucleotides) under Homo sapiens (human). Its description in RNAcentral is "HSALNT0295367". Lineage: Eukaryota; Metazoa; Chordata; Mammalia; Primates; Hominidae. The record is from RNAcentral.